AUGCAGAUGGGGCAGGCCGAGGCGGAGAAGGCGCCCGAGGUGGAGCUCGCCCUCCCCGCGCGGCCCGGCGCCGGCACCGUGGGCAAGAAGGUGAUGAUCCGCGCCAACCACUUCCUCCUCAACGUCGCCGACAACAACCUCUUCCGCUACGACGUUUCCAUUAAUCCACAGUCAAAAUCAGGAGCUGUGAACAGGGAGGUACUCAGUGAGCUAAUCAAGUUGCACGGGAAGACAUCCCUUGGCGGCAAAUUGCCUGCCUAUGAUGGAAGAAAGAGUCUUUACACUGCAGGCUCACUCCCAUUUGAAUCAGAGGAGUUUUCUGUUACACUGGUUGAUCCGGAAAAGAAGGACAAAGAAAGGGCUGAAAGGGAGUACAAGAUCACCAUUAGAAUUGCUGGGAGGACAGACCUGUACUACCUUCAGCAGUUUCUCAAAGGACGACAGAUGGAUAUGCCUCAAGAAACCAUCCAAAUGCUUGAUGCUGUCCUCAGGGAGUCACCAUCCUGGAACUAUGUCACAGUGUCCAGAUCCUUCUUCUCCACCACUUUUGGUCACAGGGGAGACAUUGGUGAAGGAUUAGAGUGCUGGAGAGGUUAUUACCAGGGCUUAUGCCCGACACAGAUGGGGCUGUCUCUCAACAUAGAUAUAUCCGCAACAUCCUUCUUCAAGCCUGUGACAGUGGUCCAGUUCGUGCUGGAGUUCCUCAACUUACGUGAUGCCUCACGACCUCUGACAGACAUGGACCGUGUCAAGAUAAAGAAAGCACUCCGUGGGGUGCGUGUUGAGACAAACCACCAAGAAGACAAAAUCAGAAGAUACAAGAUAACAGGGAUUACUCCUGUCCCCACGAGCCAGCUCAUAUUUCCUGUUGAUGAGAGAGGAACAAGAAUGUCAGUUGUUCAGUACUUCAUGCAAAGAUACAACUACAGUCUGAAGUACACUGCUUGGCCCUGUCUGCAGUCUGGAAGUGAUGCUCGUCCUGUAUAUCUGCCUAUGGAGGCGUGCAAGAUUGUUGAAGGGCAAAGGUACUCUAAGAAACUGAAUGACAAGCAGGUCACCAACAUACUUAGAGCUACCUGUCAUCGUCCGCAGCAGAGGGAGGAAAGCAUUCGUGAGAUGGUUCUGCACAACAAGUAUGCUAAGGACAGGUUUGCACAGGAGUUUGGAAUCAACGUCUGCAGUGACCUGGUCUCUGUUCCAGCCUGUGUGCUGCCUCCCCCCAUGUUGAGAUAUCAUGAUUCUGGAAAGGAGAAAACUUGUGCGCCAAGUGUUGGACAGUGGAACAUGAUUAACAAGAAAAUGAUCAAUGGAGGAAUCAUAGGCAACUGGGCCUGUGUGAGUUUUUCACGCAUGCGUCCUGAGGAGGUACACAGGUUCUGUUGUGAUCUGAUUCAGAUGUGCAAUAUGACUGGAAUGUCUGUCAAUCCAAGGCCACUUGUAGACAACCGAUCAGAUAGCCCCAACCACAUUGAGAAUGCUUUGAGUGAUGUGUACAGGAGAACUACGGAAAUACUUGGCAACCAGGGACAGCUACAACUGUUAAUCGUAAUCCUACCUGAAGUCAGUGGUUCUUAUGGGAAAAUCAAGAAGGUUUGCGAGAAUGACCUUGGGAUCGUGUCUCAGUGUUGCCUGCCAAGGCAUGCUGCCAGACCGAACAAGCAAUAUAUGGAGAAUGUUGCACUCAAAAUCAAUGUGAAGGUUGGAGGACGCAACACAGUUAUGGAGAGAGCUUUUGCGCGAAAUGGCAUACCGUUUGUGUCCGAUGUUCCAACAAUCAUCUUUGGUGCUGAUGUUACACCCCCACCUGGAGAGGACUCUGCAUCAUCUAUUGCUGCGGUGGUGGCAUCAAUGGACUGGCCAGAGAUCACCAAGUACAGAGGUCUUGUCUCUGCUCAACCACACAGGCAGGAGAUAAUCGAAGACCUCUUCAGUGUCAUCAAAGAUCCACAGAGGGGUAAUGUCAAUGGCGGCAUGAUCAGGGAGUUACUUAUUGCCUUCCGCAAGAAGACAGGCCGGAGGCCUGAAAGGAUUCUCUUCUACAGGGAUGGUGUAAGUGAAGGCCAAUUCAGCCAUGUUCUGCUUCAUGAAAUGGACGCAAUCAGGAAGGCCUGCGCCUCUUUGGAGGAAGGGUAUAUGCCCCCAGUCACCUUUGUGGUUGUCCAGAAAAGGCAUCACACGAGGCUGUUCCCUGAGGUCCAUGGGAGGUGUGAUAUGACUGACAAGAGUGGGAACAUACUUCCAGGAACUGUGGUGGACCUCAUGAUUUGCCACCCAAAAGUGUUUGAUUUCUACUUGUGCAGCCAUGCUGGCAUUCAGGGAACUAGCAGGUCAUCACAUUACCAUGUUCUUUAUGAUGAGAAUCACUUCACAGCCGAUGCGCUUCAGUCACUGACCAACAAUCUCUGCUACACCUAUGCUCAUUGCACUCGUGCUGUCUCUGUUGUCCAACCGGCGUACUAUGCCCAUCUUGCGGCAUUCCGUGCGCGCUACUACGUGGAAGGGAACAGCUCGGACGGCGGGUCGACCCCCGGGAGCAGCGGGCAGGCGGCGAUUGCGCUAGAGGGCCCUGUGGAGGUGCACCAGCUCUCAAAGAUCAAGGAAAAUGUCAAAUUCCCUCUUAAUUUACAGCCAGGUGGUGUACUUCGUGUACGCACCACCAAUGCUGGCAUGAUUAGGGGAAUUACUUAUUGCCUUCCGCAGGAAGACAGGCCGGAGGCCUAA
This 2721-nucleotide ribosomal RNA is filed under the name Triticum aestivum (bread wheat). RNAcentral's name for it is "partial small subunit ribosomal RNA". Lineage: Eukaryota; Viridiplantae; Streptophyta; Magnoliopsida; Poales; Poaceae. The record is from RNAcentral.